GCGUUGGUAUAGUGGUGAGCAUAGCUGC
This 28-nucleotide non-coding RNA is filed under the name Gallus gallus (chicken). Lineage: Eukaryota; Metazoa; Chordata; Aves; Galliformes; Phasianidae. The record is from RNAcentral. RNAcentral also lists the same sequence under 4 other names.